GAAUACUGCUGGGAAUGGGAGGGAGG
This 26-nucleotide non-coding RNA is filed under the name Cricetulus griseus (Chinese hamster). The record is from RNAcentral. Lineage: Eukaryota; Metazoa; Chordata; Mammalia; Rodentia; Cricetidae.